This 446-nucleotide ribosomal RNA is filed under the name uncultured bacterium. RNAcentral describes it as "partial 16S ribosomal RNA". It matches the Rfam family "Bacterial small subunit ribosomal RNA", at positions 338 to 795 of the family's 1533-position model. The record is from RNAcentral.
CCUACGGGUGGCAGCAGUCGAGAAUCAUUCACAAUGGGGGAAACCCUGAUGGUGCGACGCCGCGUGGGGGAAUGAAGGUCUUCGGAUUGUAAACCCCUGUCAUGUGGGAGCAAAUUAAAAAGAUAGUACCACAAGAGGAAGAGACGGCUAACUCUGUGCCAGCAGCCGCGGUAAUACAGAGGUCUCAAGCGUUGUUCGGAAUCCCUGGGCGUAAAGCGUGCGGAGGCUGUUUCGUAAGUCGUGUGUGAAAGGCGCGGGCUCAACCCGCGGACGGCACAUGAUACUGGGAGGCUAGAGUAAGGGAGGGGGAACCGGAAUUCGCGGUGUAGCAGUGAAAUGCGUAGAUAUCGAGAGGAACACUCGUGGCGAAGGCGGGUUCCUGGACAUUAACUGACGCUGAGGCACGAAGGCCAGGGGAGCGAAAGGGAUUAGAUACCCGAGUAGUC